GGAGGGGUGGGUUUUCCCUCCUCCGCCUGAUCGGAGCCAGUGGAGUCCAAAUCCCCCGAACCCCAGUGGGGCCGGUGUCGAGCCUGCGGCGUCCAUCCCGGAAGACGCGGUCCCUGAAACUUGAAUAUGCCCAAGCGUGGCACUAGUGGUAAAGAAUCUGCCUGCCAAUACAGGAGACAUAAGAGAUCCUGGUUUGAUCCCUGGGAUGAGAAGAUUCCCUGGAGGAGGGCAUAGCAACCCACUCCAGUAUUCUUGCCUGGGAAAUCCCACGGACAGAGGAGCCUGGUGGGCUACAGUCUAUGGGGUCGCAAAAGAGUCGGACAUGACUUAACGACUAAACAACAACGUUGUCAUGUAUGGAUGUGAGAGCUGGACCAUAAAGAAGGCUGAGAGCCGAAGAAUUGAUGCCUUUGAACUGUGGUGUUGGUGAAGACUCUUGAGAGUCCCUUGGACUGCAAGGGGAUCAAACCUGUCAAUCCUAAAGGAAAUCAGUCCUGAAUAUUUAUUGGAAGGACUGAUGCUGAAGCUGAAGCUCCAGUACUUUGGCCACCUGAUGCAAAGAGCUGACUCAUUAGAAAAGACCCUGAUGCUGGGAAAGAUUGAAGGCGGGGGAGAAGGGGGCAACAGAGGAUGAGAUGGUUGGAUGGUUGGAUGGUAAACUCAAUAGACAUGAGUUUGCGCAAGCUCGGGGAUUUGGUAAAGGACAGGGAAGCCUGGCAUGCUGUAGUCCAUGGGGUCGCAAAUAGUUGGACAUGACUGAGCAACAGAACAACAAGUCAUUCAUGCCCCUUGUGUUAAUAUAUGAUCAUUGUUAUCCAUUCACUUGUGAGUGGACAUUAUGCUUGUUUCCAGUUGUUGACCCUUAUUUCCAACGCUGCUAUAAACAAUGUGUGGAAAUUUUCUGGUGUACACAAGCAGGCUUCAUCUAGGGUAUACAUACCAAGAAGUGGAUUGCUCAGUUGUAAGGUUCUGACUUGGCCCAGAAUACUCUCGAGUCUUGCCCCUAUAACCCCUAUGCAGUCCAUCCCUCUGUGCUCUGUUCCAGAACAAUGACUUGCCGUUACUUCCUGUCUUUAGGACUUAGAUCAAACCUGGAAUGCCUAUCCUCCCCUCUUCCAUCUCCUCUCUUCUCUUUGAAGUCCAGCUCAGGGCUCCACCUCUCAGGCUGACGACCAGUCUCCUCUGCAUAUUUUGGACUUGAGGAGGAAAUAGUGCUAAGCUCCGGCUCUGCCAUCUCCUGGUCUUGUAAUUUUAAAAUAUGUUUUCAUCUAUGUGGUCCUCAGAUCCGCA
Molecule: long non-coding RNA, 1290 nt
Organism: Dama dama (fallow deer)
Lineage: Eukaryota; Metazoa; Chordata; Mammalia; Artiodactyla; Cervidae
Exons: 3
Source: RefSeq, a predicted model, not a curated record